Molecule: ribosomal RNA, 1446 nt
Filed under: uncultured organism
Description: SSU rRNA
Rfam family: Bacterial small subunit ribosomal RNA
Source: RNAcentral
AUGAACGCUAGCUACAGGCUUAACACAUGCAAGUCGAGGGGCAUCAGGAAGAAAGCUUGCUUUCUUUGCUGGCGACCGGCGCACGGGUGAGUAACACGUAUCCAACCUGCCCUUUACUCGGGGAUAGCCUUUCGAAAGAAAGAUUAGUACCCGAUGGCAUAAUGAUUCCGCAUGGUUUCAUUAUUAAAGGAUUCCGGUAAAGGAUGGGGAUGCGUUCCAUUAGGUUGUUGGUGAGGUAACGGCUCACCAAGCCUUCGAUGGAUAGGGGUUCUGAGAGGAAGGUCCCCCACAUUGGAACUGAGACACGGUCCAAACUCCUACGGGAGGCAGCAGUGAGGAAUAUUGGUCAAUGGGCGCUAGCCUGAACCAGCCAAGUAGCGUGAAGGAUGAAGGCUCUAUGGGUCGUAAACUUCUUUUAUAUAAGAAUAAAGUGCAGUAUGUAUACUGUUUUGUAUGUAUUAUAUGAAUAAGGAUCGGCUAACUCCGUGCCAGCAGCCGCGGUAAUACGGAGGAUCCGAGCGUUAUCCGGAUUUAUUGGGUUUAAAGGGAGCGUAGGUGGACUGGUAAGUCAGUUGUGAAAGUUUGCGGCUCAACCGUAAAAUUGCAGUUGAUAUUGUCAGUCUUGAGUACAGUAGAGGUGGGCGGAAUUCGUGGUGUAGCGGUGAAAUGCUUAGAUAUCACGAAGAACUCCGAUUGCGAAGGCAGCUCACUGGACUGCAACUGACACUGAUGCUCGAAAGUGUGGGUAUCAAACAGGAUUAGAUGCCCUGGUAGUCCACACAGUAAACGAUGAAUACUCGCUGUUUGCGAUAUACAGUAAGCGGCCAAGCGAAAGCAUUAAGUAUUCCACCUGGGGAGUACGCCGGCAACGGUGAAACUCAAAGGAAUUGACGGGGGCCCGCACAAGCGGAGGAACAUGUGGUUUAAUUCGAUGAUACGCGAGGAACCUUACCCGGGCUUAAAUUGCAGUGGAAUGAUGUGGAAACAUGUCAGUGAGCAAUCACCGCUGUGAAGGUGCUGCAUGGUUGUCGUCAGCUCGUGCCGCGAGGUGUCGGCUUAAGUGCCAUAACGAGCGCAACCCUUAUCUUUAGUUACUAACAGGUUAUGCUGAGGACUCUAGAGAGACUGCCGUCGUAAGAUGUGAGGAAGGUGGGGAUGACGUCAAAUCAGCACGGCCCUUACGUCCGGGGCUACACACGUGUUACAAUGGGGGGUACAGAAGGCAGCUAGCGGGUGACCGUAUGCUAAUCCCAAAAGCCUCUCUCAGUUCGGAUCGAAGUCUGCAACCCGACUUCGUGAAGCUGGAUUCGCUAGUAAUCGCGCAUCAGCCACGGCGCGGUGAAUACGUUCCCGGGCCUUGUACACACCGCCCGUCAAGCCAUGGGAGCCGGGGGUACCUGAAGUACGUAACCGCAAGGAUCGUCCUAGGGUAAAACUGGUGACUGG